AGGGCGUAUGGUGGAUGCCUUGGCAGACAGUACCGAUGAAGGACGUUUGAGGAUGCGAUAAUCCUAGGGGAGCCUCCAACAUGGCUUUGAUCCUAGGGUCUCCGAAUGGGGGAACCCGCCGGCCGUCAUGGGCCGGCACCGCCUAUGGGCGGGGGGUACGCAGGGAAGUGAAACAUCUCAGUACCUGCAGGAAGGGAUACUCCGUGAGUAGUGGCGAGCGAAAGCGGAUGAUGGCCAAACCUUGCGCGUGUGAUACCCGUCGGGGGUUGCGCGCGGGGUGUUGCGGGAUCGCGUGCGCCGGCUCCGACGGGCCGGCCGGCAGUUGCAGAAAACCAUGUGUCAGGGGAACCGGGUUGAAUACCGGGCCGCAGAGGGUGAGGGCCCCGUACCUGAACGCGCAUGGUCUGCCGAUCGCGUCUCCCAAGUAGCACGGGUCCCGUGGAACCCCGUGCGAAUCCGCCCAGACCGUUGGGUAAGCCUGAAUAUUCCUGUCUGACCGAUAGCGAACGAGUACCGUGAGGGAAAGGUGAAAAGUACCCCGGGAGGGGAGUGAAACAGUCUCUGAAACCGUGCGCCUACAAUCCGUCGGAGCCCUUUUGUGGGGUGACGGCGUGCCUAUCGAAAAAUGAGUCUGCGAGUCAGUGGCGGGUGGCGAGCAUAAGCCGUGUGGCGUAUGCGUAGCGAAAGCGAGUCUUAAAAGGCGUUUUUAGUCGCUUGUCCUGGACCCGAAGCGGGAUGAUCUAGCCCUGAGCAGGUUGAAGCGCGGGUAAGACCGCGUGGAGGACCGAACCCACCUGGGUUGAAAACCGGGGGGAUGACUUGGGGCUAGGGGUGAAAGGCCAAUCAAAUUCCGUGAUAGCUGGUUCUCUCCGAAAUGCAUUUAGGUGCAGCGUCGGUCGAUUGCGUCGCGGGGGUAGAGCUACCGGAUGCUUGCGGGCCCUUGUUGGGUACCAACAGCAGCCGAACUCCGAAUACCGUUGACGUGUAUUCCGGCAGUGAGUCGGCGGGGGAUAAGCUCCGUCGUCGAGAGGGAGACAGCCCAGACCGUCGUCUAAGGUCCCGAAGCGUGUGCUAAGUGGGAAAGGAUGUGGAGUCGCAUAGACAGCCAGGAGGUUGGCUCAGAAGCAGCCACCCUUGAAAGAGUGCGUAACAGCUCACUGGUCUAGUGGUUCCGCGCCGACAAUGUAGCGGGGCUCAAGCACACCACCGAAGACGCGGCAGCAAUCUUCAUGGUUGCUGGGUAGGAGAGCGUCCUGCAUGGGGCGAAGCGGCCGGGUAACCGUGCCGUGGACCGUGUGGGAGUGAGAAUGCAGACAUGAGUAGCGAGAGACGGGUGAGGAUCCCGUCCGCUGGAUGACCAAGGGUUCCAGGGCCACGUUCAUCGUCCCUGGGUGAGUCGGGUCCUAAGGCGAGGCCGACAGGCGUAGUCGAAUGGAUGAACGGGUGGAUAUUCCCGUACCGACCAUGGACCGGCAAAACCGAGACGGUGAGUACUAACCUCCGCCUCGUGGUGGUUCCUUCCUUCGGGUUGGUGUCGCCGCGUGGUGUUGGGAGCGUAGCCGCAGUAGGUCAGCGCAGGGGUGACACGGAAUGGGAGCCGGCCGCGGAGGUGGUUUUCCGUGGUCAAGCACGCAGCCAGUCAUGUAGGCAAAUCCGCAUGGCGUGCAUGGCGAGGUGUGAUGAUGGGAGCCGUUAUGGUUCGAUAUCCGGUUGUCCAGGCCGUCGAGAAAAGCCUCGGCGUGAGGGCCAUGGCCGCCCGUACCCCAAACCGACACUGGUGGUCAGGUAGAGAAUACCAAGGCGAUCGAGCGAAUCCUGGUCAAGGAACUCGGCAAAUCACUCCCGUGCCUUCGGUAUAAGGGAGACCCGCUGGGGUGAACCGGCUAGCCCGGGGAGCUUUGGUGGGUGGCACAGACCAGGGGGUAGCGACUGUUUACCAAAAACACAGGUGCAUGCGAAGGCGCAAGCCGCUGUAUAUGCACUGACGCCUGCCCGGUGCCGGAAGGUUAAGAGGAUCCGUCAGCCUUCGGGUGAAGCGGUGAAUUCAAGCCCCGGUAAACGGCGGUGGUAACUAUAACCAUCCUAAGGUAGCGAAAUUCCUUGUCGGGUAAGUUCCGACCUGCACGAAUGGCGUAAUGAUGGCCAGGCUGUCUCCACCCGAGACUCAGUGAAAUUGAACUCGCUGUGAAGAUGCAGUGUACCCGCGGCAAGACGGAAAGACCCCGUGAACCUUUACUAUAGCUUGACACUGAACAUUGAGCCUUGAUGUGUAGGAUAGGUGGGAGGCUUUGAAGUGUGGACGCCAGUCUGCAUGGAGCCGACCUUGAAAUACCACCCUUUAAUGUUUGAUGUUCUAACGUUGACCCGUAAUCCGGGUUGCGGACAGUGUCUGGUGGGUAGUUUGACUGGGGCGGUCUCCUCCUAAAGAGUAACGGAGGAGCACGAAGGUUGGCUAAUCCUGGUCGGACAUCAGGAGGUUAGUGCAAUGGCAUAAGCCAGCUUGACUGCGAGCGUGACGGCGCGAGCAGGUGCGAAAGCAGGUCAUAGUGAUCCGGUGGUUCUGAAUGGAAGGGCCAUCGCUCAACGGAUAAAAGGUACUCCGGGGAUAACAGGCUGAUACCGCCCAAGAGUUCAUAUCGACGGCGGUGUUUGGCACCUCGAUGUCGGCUCAUCACAUCCUGGGGCUGAAGUAGGUCCCAAGGGUAUGGCUGUUCGCCAUUUAAAGUGGUACGCGAGCUGGGUUUAGAACGUCGUGAGACAGUUCGGUCCCUAUCUGCCGUGGGCGCUGGAGAACUGAGGGGGGCUGCUCCUAGUACGAGAGGACCGGAGUGGACGCAUCACUGGUGUUCGGGUUGUCAUGCCAAUGGCACUGCCCGGUAGCUAAAUGCGGAAGAGAUAAGUGCUGAAAGCAUCUAAGCACGAAACUUGCCCCGAGAUGAGUUCUCCCUGACUCCUUGA
RNAcentral lists this ribosomal RNA (2958 nucleotides) under human gut metagenome. RNAcentral describes it as "bacterial LSU rRNA". It matches the Rfam family "Bacterial large subunit ribosomal RNA". The record is from RNAcentral.